RNAcentral lists this ribosomal RNA (1146 nucleotides) under uncultured bacterium. RNAcentral's name for it is "bacterial SSU rRNA". It matches the Rfam family "Bacterial small subunit ribosomal RNA", at positions 206 to 1354 of the family's 1533-position model. The record is from RNAcentral.
CAUUUAUGGCUGUAAGAUGAGUAUGCGUCCUAUUAGCUAGUAGGUAUGGUAACGGCAUACCUAGGCGACGAUAGGUAGGGGUCCUGAGAGGGAGAUCCCCCCACACUGGUACUGAGACACGGACCAGACUCCUACGGGAGGCAGCAGUGAGGAAUAUUGGACAAUGGAGGCAACUCUGAUCCAGCCAUGCCGCGUGCAGGAAGACUGCCCUAUGGGUUGUAAACUGCUUUUAUAUAGGAAGAAAAAGAAUCACGUGUGAUUUGUUGACGGUACUAUAUGAAUAAGGAUCGGCUAACUCCGUGCCAGCAGCCGCGGUAAUACGGAGGAUCCGAGCGUUAUCCGGAAUUAUUGGGUUUAAAGGGUCCGUAGGCGGGAUAGUAAGUCAGCGGUGAAAGUUUGUGGCUCAACCACGAAAUUGCCGUUGAUACUGUUGUUCUUGAGUUAUUGUGAAGUGGUUAGAAUGUGUAGUGUAGCGGUGAAAUGCAUAGAUAUUACACAGAAUACCGAUUGCGAAGGCAGAUCACUAACAAUACACUGACGCUGAUGGACGAAAGCGUAGGUAGCGAACAGGAUUAGAUACCCUGGUAGUCUACGCAGUAAACGAUGGUUACUAGCUGUUCGGUCUAAUUGAGGAUUGAGUGGUUAAGCGAAAGUGAUAAGUAACCCACCUGGGGAGUACGUUCGCAAGAAUGAAACUCAAAGGAAUUGACGGGGGCCCGCACAAGCGGUGGAGCAUGUGGUUUAAUUCGAUGAUACGCGAGGAACCUUACCAGGGCUUAAAUGCAGUUUGACAGGGUUGGAGACAACUUUUUCUUCGGACAAAUUGCAAGGUGCUGCAUGGUUGUCGUCAGCUCGUGCCGUGAGGUGUCAGGUUAAGUCCUAUAACGAGCGCAACCCCUUUGGUUAGUUGCCAGCGAGUCAUGUCGGGAACUCUAGCCAUACUGCCAGUGUAAACUGUGAGGAAGGUGGGGAUGACGUCAAAUCAUCACGGCCCUUACGUCCUGGGCUACACACGUGCUACAAUGGUAGGGACAGAGAGCAGCCACUGGGUGACCAGGAGCGAAUCUACAAACCCUAUCACAGUUCGGAUCGGAGUCUGCAACUCGACUCCGUGAAGCUGAAUCGCUAGUAAUCGCAUAUCAGCCA